CGGGGCGUAGCGCAGCUUGGUAGCGCACUUGCAUGGGGUGCAAGGGGUCGCGAGUUCGAAUCCCGCCGCCCCGACCA
This 77-nucleotide transfer RNA is filed under the name Zoogloeaceae bacterium. RNAcentral's name for it is "tRNA-Pro". It matches the Rfam family "tRNA". Rfam says of the family: Transfer RNA (tRNA) molecules are approximately 80 nucleotides in length. Their secondary structure includes four short double-helical elements and three loops (D, anti-codon, and T loops). Further hydrogen bonds mediate the characteristic L-shaped molecular structure. tRNAs have two regions of fundamental functional importance: the anti-codon, which is responsible for specific mRNA codon recognition, and the 3' end, to which the tRNAs corresponding amino acid is attached (by aminoacyl-tRNA synthetases). tRNAs cope with the degeneracy of the genetic code in two manners: having more than one tRNA (with a specific anti-codon) for a particular amino acid; and 'wobble' base-pairing, i.e. permitting non-standard base-pairing at the 3rd anti-codon position. The record is from RNAcentral. Lineage: Bacteria; Pseudomonadati; Pseudomonadota; Betaproteobacteria; Rhodocyclales; Zoogloeaceae.